ACAAAGAAAAAUACGGCCAGAGCAUACCAAAGUUAGUAUGAAGUAAAGUGGGACAUGAACUAUCAGUGAAAGUUCCAUCGGUGGAAUGGUUUAGCAAUGUUUUGGGAGAUGAAGAGGUUCAAAUAGAAGGGUAAGAAAUGUGAAAAAAUGAUUUGGGUAUAAAUCAUUCGGAUCAUCCAGGUUGUUGCAUUUGAGGAUCAGUAAGAAAGUCAAAACUUGGUCAGUUCAAGGCAGUCAGUCAAAGCAAAGGACUGCAAAGGAAGAGCCGACUUCAGCAAGAAUACCACAAACUUACCACCAUAUUUUGAACUGAUAAAAUUUUUCUUUGAUGUGAAACAGGGGUAGAAAAUUUCGUUUGUUGCGGAGAAGCUCUCUGUAAGAAAAAUCAAGCAUCAGACAGGUUUGAUCGUAAAUUCUCGGGACCCUCCUGGAAAAUAGGACCUAGUUUAUCAUUCAAAGCAAUAGUGAGUAGAAAAGUCUAGCAUAAAUG
This 490-nucleotide long non-coding RNA is filed under the name Nicotiana benthamiana. RNAcentral describes it as "long non-coding RNA (NBEN_LNC019805)". The record is from RNAcentral. Lineage: Eukaryota; Viridiplantae; Streptophyta; Magnoliopsida; Solanales; Solanaceae.